This 227-nucleotide unclassified non-coding RNA is filed under the name Hevea brasiliensis (rubber tree). Lineage: Eukaryota; Viridiplantae; Streptophyta; Magnoliopsida; Malpighiales; Euphorbiaceae. The record is from RNAcentral.
GAGCAUCUGAGCAGAGCAAAGUCGCACACAGAAACAUUUUCGCCACAACUGUCCCCCCAAAGCCCUUAUCUGCAUUCCCCAAAUCCAAUUUCUCCGGCAUCCAAACACGCCACCUAUGUUCCCUUCCGAUUCGGGUACCUGCCGAAAUGACGCGGUAGUUUUCUGGAAACUCACUUCCCUCUGUUGUAAUGAUGGCGAAGAGGGAAGAAGAAAUGAAGGAAAUCAGG